This 680-nucleotide long non-coding RNA is filed under the name Capsella rubella. RNAcentral's name for it is "long non-coding RNA (CRUB_LNC000895)". The record is from RNAcentral. Lineage: Eukaryota; Viridiplantae; Streptophyta; Magnoliopsida; Brassicales; Brassicaceae.
UACAACCAGGAACCAUACGAGCCGAUUGAACACUCUCUAUAUCUUCUAGGCAAACCGCACACUCGGUCGACCUAGCCAUUACGGCAAGCUCUUUUCCGGUAAGUUUUGGGAUCUUUUCCAGCUCUAAAACCGUAAGGCCUUUACCGGUAACCGGCUUAACAGGUUCCGCGAAUCGAAGACGUUCAAUACGACGUCGUGUUGAACACCAUAAAAGGAAGAGAUAGAUUAAGAAAAUGAUGCACAUGCCUACACAAGGGAGGAGGAGGACCAUGAAAACUGUAGAUACCAUGGACUGGCCGCCGCCUGAUUCCGCGGCGGUUGGUGGCGGAGAAGGUACUAAAACUGGUGUCAUGAGUGUGUGUAGUGCUUUUGGUUUUGGUUGUGAAAAAGCAAAAAAGAAAGAAAAAAAGUUAUAUUCCUCUGCUCAUUGUUUUGUUGUUUGGCAGUGAAAAUUUUGUGAAAAAGAGUAACGGCUAUUUAUAUGGAGAGGAGAGGACACGGCAGAGGCAAAUACAAGACUCUAGGUUAAGCUAUUAUUUAUUUUUAUUUUUGUACAAAUCAGUUAUUUUUAAUUAUUAUGUUUUUUUGUUUGUUUUAUAUACACCAGGUUCUUUUGCCCCAUUGAAUUAUUAUAUAACGUCAAUUUUUAAAUGGUAAUGAAAACGAUUUGAUAUAUGGCU